Long non-coding RNA from Pyrus x bretschneideri (Chinese white pear), 1864 nucleotides. RefSeq lists it as uncharacterized. Lineage: Eukaryota; Viridiplantae; Streptophyta; Magnoliopsida; Rosales; Rosaceae. The record is from RefSeq and is a predicted model, not a curated record. The transcript has 11 exons.
GCAUGUUCAGAUUAAAAGUUAUGAUUUAUUUACGAAAUUACCACCGCUUUUGCACAGUAAAAGGCCGCCCUCGCGUCAGUCAUCGUGGAUUGCUCUGUUCCGUCCGUUUCCAUUCCCUGUUCUUUUCCUUUCUUCUCCCCCACUCUCUCUGUAACCAUCCAUCAAAUCCCUCAUCCCUCCCUUUUCUCACUCUGUAAUUUCCCUCAAAUGCCUCACCGAUUCUCUUUUAGCCAUUCUCAGUCUCGCCAGCCGGCCCAGCCGUGAGGCGUUGGAGGUCGAUGAGGCGAUUGAUAUGGAGUCGCAGACCAUCAAGCAGAUGUUGGAGUUUUUGUUUGCUUGCGUCACCGUCACCGUCACCGUCACCGUCACGGGGGGCUUUGAGUUUUCUUUAAGUGGUUGCAGAGGGUUCGGGUAAUCAAGUAGAUGAGACAAAUGGCAAAACACGAAGAACUCCCAAUCCCAAUUCACAACACCCUCGACGCCGUCUACGGCGACUCCUCCCAUCUCGACGAGGCCCAGCUCCGAUUCCACCGGCUGAAGUCCAAGUUCCAGCAGGUCGGUCACCCUCCCCAACUCUUCUCUCGCUCUUCAGGGAGAGUAAACUUGAUCGGAGAGCACAUAGACUACGAGGGCUACUCAGUGCUGCCGAUGGCCAUACGACAGGACCCCAUUGUCGCAAUCCGGAAGCACGACGACGGAGAUGCCGAGAAAGUUCUCAGAAUCGCCAACGUCAACGACAAGUACUAAAUUUGUACUUAUCCGGCCGACCCGACCCAGGAAAUUGACUUGAAGAAUCACAAAUAGGGGCACUAUGUCAUUUUUGGGUACAAAUGUUUUUACGAAUUUGCCAAAUCGAAGGGAGAAGAUGUUGGACCAGUACUAUUUAAAUUCUGUUGGAGUUUGGGUUGCUGAUAUAUCGCUUACUAAGCCAUAUGCAGUGGAGGAAAGCCAGUUGCCUCACGGAGAGUGGAUUCUCCAAAUCAUCUUUUCACUAUCAUCUCUCUCAGUCAUGACUCAUGACUUAGGGAUCAAGCAAGCGUUUCACUUGCCAGGAGUGAUUGUCACCAUCUUUAUGACAUAAGUCAUUUCUCUAAGAAGCAUCCUUUCCCUUGUGAAAGUCAAUUCCAGAGGAAGAACUGUUCUGAUGUUGACGACUUAAAUUAACAAGCCUGUGCUGUUGACAUUUUCCCGUGUCAAAUAUAGAAGUCAUCAAACGUUUCUCAGGAUCAAUGCCACUUGGUGAGAGUGCUCGAUUGCGACCAAAUUUGGAAUUUUGGGUCGUUGGAGGAAGAAUUUGGUUGCUUGACAUUUUGAGGAAGAAAGAAUGAGGCUGUUGAAGCACAAAACUAAAGUUUACUUUUAUGCUCCUAGGCUGGAUCACCAGGGAGGUGACAUUGCAGGAAGAGAAUGUUGUAUAUGAAAGGGCAAUAUCGUGUGAAAACAAAAUACAAGAGAAAAUUCAAGAGCAGAUUUGCUGAAGAGGAAGCUAAUGGAGAUGGAAGAGAAUGAAAGGAAUUUGAGAUAUGAACUCGAAAAUGCACGAACCGCAUUGGAUGCCAGUUGAUCUGGUCAAUCAGAUGAAUCCAUUGCUGAUCCGAAGACGACAGUUGGAACCGAAAAUGACGUAGAAGCUUUAAAGAAGGCUAUACUUGAAAAAUUAGAGGAGAGGAAAAAAGAACUGGUCGGUUUCAUUUUUGCUUUCAAUCUUACAGUUGUUUCGUCUUCGUUCAUUGCAAAUGUGUUUGUAUUUUGAAUUUAUUUUAUCCCGAUUACUGAAAAGAUGAUGUGAUCUCUUAGAGUUCAAUGGAAGCACUCGAAUCGAUUGUGCGAAUUUUAUGAUAAAUUAUGCAGUUUUGGGUUUGAA